RNAcentral lists this ribosomal RNA (498 nucleotides) under uncultured bacterium. Its description in RNAcentral is "partial 16S ribosomal RNA". It matches the Rfam family "Bacterial small subunit ribosomal RNA", at positions 30 to 523 of the family's 1533-position model. The record is from RNAcentral.
AUUGAACGCUGGCGGCUUGCCUUACACAUGCAAGUCGAACGGUAACAGGUCUUCGGAUGCUGACGAGUGGCGAACGGGUGAGUAAUACAUCGGAACGUGCCUAGUAGUGGGGGAUAACUACUCGAAAGAGUGGCUAAUACCGCAUGAGAUCUACGGAUGAAAGCAGGGGAUCGCAAGACCUUGUGCUACUAGAGCGGCCGAUGGCAGAUUAGGUAGUUGGUGGGAUAAAGGCUUACCAAGCCGACGAUCUGUAGCUGGUCUGAGAGGACGAUCAGCCACACUGGGACUGAGACACGGCCCAGACUCCUACGGGAGGCAGCAGUGGGGAAUUUUGGACAAUGUGCGAAAGCCUGAUCCAGCAAUGACGCGUGCAGGAUGAAGGCCUUCGGGUUGUAAACUGCUUUUGUACGGAACGAAAAGCCCCGGGUUAAUACCCUGGGGUCAUGACGGUACCGUAAGAAUAAGCACCGGCUAACUACGUGCCAGCCGCCGCAGUAA